This is a long non-coding RNA of Perognathus longimembris pacificus (Pacific pocket mouse), 1517 nucleotides long. RefSeq lists it as uncharacterized. NCBI's taxonomy places the organism in Eukaryota, Metazoa, Chordata, Mammalia, Rodentia, Heteromyidae. The transcript is spliced from 4 exons. The record is from RefSeq and is a predicted model, not a curated record.
UCUACGUUUAUCUUCUCAGGAUUUUAGGUUAAAUAAACCAAGUAUGGGGACUGGGGACACUCUGUUGCUGAAAUGACAUCACAGGAAAAGGGGGUGGGCAGAGAUGACUUGGCAGUGUUAGAAUCCAGCUUCCACAUUUGACUUGGGCUCCCUAGCUAUUAAUCCAGAUCCUCCAGAUUAUAGAACAUUCAUCAAUGUUACUAAGGCAGCACAGAGGUAAGCAAGGAAGUAAGAGGACACCUGACGAAGGAACUGAUAGGCUUUUGUUUUUUUUUUUUUUAACCUCUCCUUAGAUUUCUAAUGGACAGUGGGGUUGGAGUUUUUUUAUUGCAACUUUUCUCAUAACCUUUCUGUCUGAACUCCAAACCCUAAGAACUACAUGUCUGAGAUCUGAAUGUGUUCUUGGUCCCAAAUCAAUCUUGUCACUCCUCAGAAAGCAAUGCAAGAUAAUAAGUAAUAUUCACCUGAUUGCUUUCCUGCUCAGAGACAGCUAGUGACGUGUGUCUUGCUGAUAAGUAGGAGUUGCUGAUGUGAGGCAGGAUAAAGUGAAGCUUGGAGCUUUCAGAAUCUCAAUUUGACAGUCGUGGCUGAGGAGAGGGUCAGCGGGGAUAGAAUCUGUGACACCGAUGAGAAAAGAACAAAAUUUAUCUGCUCUGGUUGCAAUGAUUAGAUGUCUCUUUGUCUGGCUUCCUUACAGUGGGUGACUGAUUUUACCGGGCCAGCUGGUUAAUAUUAUAAUUAACAAAGUUUGCUACAUCUGUAAAGUUUAAUCGAAAAAUUUGCCGGUGAUGUGAUAGUGUUGUCACAAAGAUCACAAGGGACCAGGAGCCUGAUUUUAUUCAAGGUGGAGCGGCAAAGCUGUGUCGGCAUGAUGAAAAAUUGCGAACUUGUUCAACCAAAAGGUUCUGCUUCAUGUCACCCACCGGGAAGGAUCAUCUCUCACAAAAACUUUCAAAUUUGAUUUUGAAAAUUUAUUCAGAAAAAAAUGUGAGCCAUGCUUUCUCUCGACAUAGGAAAUAAUAUGCUCUGGAGAAUCCUCUGGUUUGCAGAACAUGGCAGAGAGAGCGUUCGGGUUCUCAUACUACCAGAAUCCUCUUGGGAAGGACAGCCAGGAGGCUAAUAAUGGAGGGGCCGGGGGAAGAAGGCCAAUGUUACAGGGUUAUCUCACGACUUCAGAUGCUGGAUAAGUCCAAGGAGACAGACUCGCUUCUUCAUGACAUUCAGAAAAGCUAGCCUGAUCAUUUGGAAGAGAGAAAGCCUGCCUAUUCUUUCCAAGAUAAUGAUGGCCCUGAUAAUGCCCAUCUAAAAGUCCAAUGAUGAAUCUUAGAAAUCUGCCUUAAACAAAGGAUGAACUACAAUCCCCACCACAUCUCAAACCAUGCUUUGAAGGAUCUGCCAAGCUCACUUUUAAUCAUGAGAAAGAAAUUACCCACAUGGAGACAGCAGAAAAUGAGAAAGUAGAGCUCGUGCUGCGAAUAAUUCCGGCGAGUGCCAAGGGGCUAGUUGAGGAAUGGCUU